This 75-nucleotide transfer RNA is filed under the name Clostridia bacterium. RNAcentral's name for it is "tRNA-Gln". It matches the Rfam family "tRNA". From Rfam's summary of the family: Transfer RNA (tRNA) molecules are approximately 80 nucleotides in length. Lineage: Bacteria; Bacillati; Bacillota; Clostridia. The record is from RNAcentral.
UGGGGUAUCGCCAAGCGGUAAGGCACGGGACUCUGACUCCCGCAUUCGUUGGUUCGAAUCCAACUACCCCAGCCA